RNAcentral lists this ribosomal RNA (253 nucleotides) under uncultured bacterium. RNAcentral's name for it is "partial 16S ribosomal RNA". It matches the Rfam family "Bacterial small subunit ribosomal RNA", at positions 524 to 776 of the family's 1533-position model. The record is from RNAcentral.
UACGUAGGGAGCAAGCGUUGUCCGGAUUUACUGGGUGUAAAGGGUGCGUAGGCGGACUUUUAAGUGAGAUGUGAAAUACUCGGGCUCAACUUGAGUGCUGCAUUUCAAACUGGAGGUCUAGAGUGCAGGAGAGGAGAAUGGAAUUCCUAGUGUAGCGGUGAAAUGCGUAGAGAUUAGGAAGAACACCAGUGGCGAAGGCGAUUCCCUGGACUGUAACUGACGCUGAGGCUCGAAAGCGUGGGGAGCAAACAGG